GCAGCGAGGUGGCGUCCCGGCGGGCAGCGCGGGGGGGGAGCGGGCGGCGCCGCUCCGCCGGUGCGCCCAGGGCAGGACCCCCCCGCCCCCGCCCGGUGCGGCGCCCCCAGCCCCGCAUACCCGCGGCACCUGUUGCUGCCCCCAGCCUCCCCCCCCCGCCCCCCCCCCUCGGCCGCGGCAUGCGGAGCGCCCGGCCGGCCCGCGGGCUGCCGUGAUGGGCGGCGGCGGUGGCCGUGGCGGUGGCGGUGGCGGUGGCUCUGCCCGCGGCCGGCAGCCCCCGGCCGGCGCCCCCGGCAGCGCGUGGCGCCCAUGCUGCGCUCCGCCGCGCCGCCCCGCGCCCCCCCGCCGCCGCGGCGAUGCCGCUCGCGGGCGAGGAGCGGAGCCUGCAGGGGGUCUACAAGCCGGCGGGGCCGGCGGAGGGCAGGGCGGCCGGCGGGGCCGGGGGCUACACCAACCGCUCCUUCCUCGACGACGAUGGCAGCACCCACAGGCUCUCGUCGCCCGGCGGCUGCGGCGACGGGGACGGCGGUGGGAGCUGCAAGAGCGGGGUCAUUCUGGACAUCGCCGCCCUGAAGAUGACGGAGCUGGAGUCCGAGGUGCUGCCUCUGCCGCCCCGGUACCGCUUCCGCGAUCUGCUGCUGGGGGACCAGACCUUCCAGAGCGACGACAGGGUGCAGGUCGAGUUCUACGUGAAUGAAAACACUUUUAAGGAGCGGCUGAAACUCUUCUUCAUCAAAAACCAGCGAUCGAGCCUGAGGAUCCGGCUCUUCAACUUCUCACUGAAGCUGCUCACAUGCCUGCUGUACAUCGUCCGCGUCCUGCUUGACAACCCGGAGGAGGGCAUAGGCUGCUGGGAAUGCGAAAAGCAGAAUUACACAGCGUUCAACCAGUCCACAAAUAUCAACUGGUCACACAUCUUCUGGGUGGAUAGAAAAAUGCCACUGUGGGCUGUGCAGGUCAGCAUAGCUUUAAUCAGCUUUCUGGAGACCAUGCUGCUCAUCUAUCUCAGCUACAAGGGGAACAUCUGGGAACAGAUUUUUCGCAUUUCAUUCAUCCUUGAGAUGAUCAACACGGUGCCAUUUAUUAUCACAAUCUUCUGGCCUCCUUUGCGGAAUUUGUUCAUUCCUGUGUUUCUGAACUGCUGGCUUGCCAAAUACGCCCUGGAGAACAUGAUCAAUGACCUGCACCGCGCCAUACAAAGGACCCAGUCUGCAAUGUUUAACCAGGUGCUCAUUUUGAUCUGCACCCUCCUGUGUCUCGUUUUCACGGGGACCUGCGGCAUCCAGCAUUUAGAAAGAGCAGGUGAGAAACUCUCCCUCUUCAAGUCCUUCUAUUUCUGCAUCGUCACCUUUUCCACCGUGGGCUAUGGAGAUGUGACACCAAAGAUCUGGCCUUCCCAGCUCCUCGUUGUGAUCAUGAUUUGCGUUGCCCUGGUGGUGCUGCCGCUCCAGUUUGAGGAGCUUGUCUACCUGUGGAUGGAGCGGCAGAAGUCGGGAGGCAAUUACAGCCGUCACCGUGCCCAGACAGAGAAACACGUUGUCCUUUGCGUCAGCUCCCUCAAGAUUGAUCUCCUCAUGGACUUCCUCAACGAAUUUUACGCCCACCCGCGCUUGCAGGAUUACUACGUGGUGAUACUUUGCCCAACAGAGAUGGAUAUCCAGGUGCGGAGGGUUCUGCAGAUCCCUCUGUGGUCGCAGCGAGUGAUCUACCUCCAGGGCUCUGCACUGAAGGACCAGGACCUCAUGAGAGCCAAGAUGGACAAUGGCGAAGCCUGCUUCAUUCUCAGCAGCCGAAAUGAGGUGGAUCGCACCGCGGCGGACCACCAGACCAUCCUGAGAGCCUGGGCUGUGAAAGAUUUUGCUCCAAACUGUCCUCUUUACGUUCAGAUCUUAAAGCCUGAAAACAAGUUUCACGUCAAGUUUGCUGAUCACGUCGUCUGCGAAGAGGAGUGCAAGUACGCCAUGCUGGCACUGAACUGCGUCUGCCCUGCCACCUCCACCCUCAUCACACUGCUGGUGCACACAUCCCGUGGCCAGGAAGGCCAGGAGUCCCCGGAGCAGUGGCAGCGGAUGUAUGGGCGCUGCUCGGGCAACGAGGUCUACCACAUCCGGAUGGGCGACAGCAAGUUCUUCAUGGAGUACGAGGGGAAGAGCUUCACCUAUGCUGCCUUCCAUGCGCACAAGAAGUACGGCGUCUGCCUGAUCGGCAUCCGCAGGGAGGAGAACAAGAGCAUCCUGCUGAAUCCCGGCCCGCGGCACAUCAUGGCAGCGUCCGACACCUGCUUCUACAUCAACAUCACCAAGGAGGAGAACUCUGCCUUCAUUUUCAAGCAGGAGGAGAAGCAGAAGAAGAAGGGCUUUGCGCGGAGAGGCACCUAUGAUGGUCCAUCCCGCCUGCCGGUGCACAGCAUCAUCGCCAGCAUGGGUACAGUAGCCAUGGACCUGCAAAACACAGAGUGCCGCCCCGCUAACAGCAGCAAGCUGGCUCUGCCGGCCGAGAACGGCUCGGGCAACCGCCGGCCCAGCAUCGCGCCCGUCCUUGAGCUGGCUGACACCUCGUCCCUGCUGCCCUGCGACCUGCUCAGCGACCAGUCGGAAGAUGAGAUGACACAGUCAGACGAGGAAGGGUCAGCAGUUGUGGAGUACGUCAAAGGCUACCCACCCAACUCCCCCUACAUUGGGAGCUCCCCGACUCUGUGCCACCUUUUACCCGAGAAAGCCCCGUUCUGCUGCCUGAGGCUGGACAAGGGCUGCAAGCACAACAGCUUUGAAGAUGCCAAAGCCUACGGGUUUAAGAACAAACUGAUUAUCGUUUCGGCAGAGACAGCUGGGAACGGGCUGUAUAACUUCAUUGUCCCCCUUCGUGCAUACUAUCGGUCCCGCAAGGAGUUGAACCCCAUCGUGUUGCUGCUGGACAACAAGCCUGAGCACCACUUUCUGGAAGCCAUCUGUUGUUUCCCUAUGGUUUACUACAUGGAGGGCACGAUCGACAACCUGGACAGCUUGCUGCAGUGUGGCAUCAUCUAUGCUGACAACCUGGUGGUUGUGGACAAGGAGAGCACGAUGAGUGCCGAGGAGGACUACAUGGCAGAUGCAAAGACGAUUGUCAACGUCCAGACCAUGUUCAGGCUCUUCCCCAGCCUCAGCAUUAUCACAGAGCUGACCCACCCCUCCAACAUGAGGUUCAUGCAAUUCAGAGCAAAGGACAGUUACUCUCUUGCCCUUUCCAAGCUAGAAAAGAAAGAGCGAGAGAACGGCUCCAACCUGGCCUUCAUGUUCCGGCUGCCCUUCGCGGCUGGCAGGGUCUUCAGCAUCAGCAUGUUGGACACGCUGCUCUAUCAGUCAUUCGUGAAGGACUACAUGAUUACCAUCACUCGGUUGCUGCUGGGCCUCGACACCACGCCGGGCUCCGGCUACCUCUGUGCGAUGAAGAUCACUGAAGAUGACCUGUGGAUCCGGACAUACGGUCGCCUUUUCCAGAAGCUCUGCUCCUCCAGUGCGGAGAUUCCCAUCGGGAUUUACAGGACAGAGUCACACAUGUUUGCAACCUCUGAGCCCCAUGACAUCAGAGCACAGUCACAGAUCUCAAUCAAUGUUGAGGACUGCGAGGACACAAAGGACGUCAAGGAGCACUGGGGCAUCAAGACCAGCCACCAUAGGAACUCCUGCUCCAGUGACCAGUCCGAGCACCCGCUGCUGCGGCGCAAGAGCAUGCAGUGGGCACGCCGGCUGAGCAGGAAGGGCAACAAGCACUCCAGCAAGACGGCUGAGUGGAUCAGCCAGCAGCGCCUCAGCCUGUACCGGCGCUCCGAGAGGCAGGAGCUUUCCGAGCUCGUUAAAAACCGUAUGAAGCACCUGGGCUUGCCCACCACUGGGUAUGAGGAUGUAGCAAAUUUAACAGCCAGUGAUGUGAUGAAUCGGGUAAACCUGGGAUAUUUGCAAGGUAAUUCCCUUUCCCUGAGAGUCCCGUGUGCAGCAUACAACAAGAUCAUGCCAGCUAAGCCCAAAUCACACCCUUGCCGGUUUUCACCUUAGAUACCCCAGCCUUUCAAGCACUAAUUUGUUGGGUGGCAUUGGAAAACAAAAGACCGUCCUGCAACAGCGGUACAAACGUAGGGCUCUGCAAAGUCAUGGAGAGAAAAACCUCAGGGACCCUUCUGUAGUUGAAUCCUUACAGGGAAAUCACAGCCCUCAGCUGUCAUUAAAAGAAACCCUCCCUCCACUGCUCUGCAAGUUCGUUUUGGUCUGUAAAGCCUGUGGCAAUCUGAGGAGAGGAUUUGCGGGGGGACGAGCGCAGCGGAGCUGCUGGUGUGUGCUGCGAUGAGAUGCUGGAGCUGCUGCGCCAGCCUCUUCACCUCUCGGGCACACAGGGGUCAGCCGCAGCUCGGGGCAAGGCAGCACUCGGAAAGCCCUUCGUAAUCCCUGGCUCGUGGUCCUGGACAACUCCCUAGGGGUAGCAGACCCUUAAGCGUAGCAGACCCUGUUUCUAACUGGGGUAGAGCGAGGUUGCUGGUGCUGCCCAUCCUGCAGACACCCCGGGGCACCUUGCUGGCACCUGCAGGGUUAUUGCAGCACUUACACCUUUACACAGUGGUGUAAAGUGCCCUGGAAAGGCCCCUUUUUACCACAGCAGCCUAGAGGUUAGCAGUAGCCCGACCUAGCUGUAUUGAAGGCUUCACUAGCCCAUGCUUAAGGUGAAAAGUUGGCAUUUUCCUAUAAACUCUGUCCUUCAUCAGAGAAGCAGCCCCAGCUGGGGCUCAUGGAAGCCCCAUGCCAGCAGAGUAUAUUGCCAGCUGGCCGGUGGGUGCUGGGCAGAGCUCAGACCCCUGCUGGUAUCUCCCUCUCCCACAGAAGAGCUGGGGCUGAGUUUAGCCACCUGCUAAAUCAGGAGACCCUGGGGGUGAACGUCCAAGGUGGUGGCAUCACUGCUGGGGGCUGCGUGGGUUGGGGAGCUGGAUCUCAGUGUUGGUUUCCCCCCUCCAAAAAAAAAAAAGAUGUAAAUUUUUGGUUUGCUGGUGGGUGCUGCUGGGCUGAGCCGUGCCGCAGGGGACGAUAUGGCAAUAUACUUGGUGGGUUUAGCAGUGCCUGGCUCGGCUGCAUGGGGGGUCAGGAAAAGGUGCUUCCAUGGAGCAGGGAAACCUGCCGUGAGCCAGGGCCCCUCCCCGCCUCCCCCGUCAUGUCAACCCCCUCCCCGUGUCUCCCGCCAGGUCCCAGGGUCCGUGUGCCACCCGUGCCCCAGCAUUGCCACUCCCUGUCCCCGCCUCGCUGUAAGGCUGAGCACUGGGAUGGCCAAAGCUCUCCGGCCAGCACCUGGGGCUGGGCACCCCGGCACAGGUCGGGGGGUCCCACAGAGCAUCGCCCAGCUGCAGCACCCUCUGUGGCCUCAGCAGUGCCAGGGAGGUGUCUGAACAGCAGAACAAGGGUCUUGUGUCCCCCUGCAAGCGCUGCUGUAGUGUGGUACCGGUGCAGUCCAGCCAUGGGGAUGCCCUGGGGCCCAUCUGGAUGCACACUGGCCAAAUGCAUGGUGAAGGCAGCCCUGGGUGGGGGGCGGGGAACCUGUUUGAAUCCCUGUGAAGGAUGCCAGGCCAGGUGGCUGCAGUGGCUUGAGCUGCUGUGGCUCAUGUCACAGCUGGAGAAAAGCCCCACUUCAGAGCUUUCCACCUCAGUCCUGAGGCUGAAGAGCAGCGGUACUCCUCGCCCGCAGGCUGCCUUGACCACCCUCCCCUGCCUGGGGUGAUCGCACACCCAUGGGUGUCGUUACAGCAGGACACAGCCUGUGUCCCAUCGUAUGGCAGGGCAGCCUGUGACCAGGGGAUCCCCCCACCCCGGGCAGGGGAGGGCAGGGGUGUGGUGGUGGGAGCAGCAGGAAGAGCUGCAGGGAGCAGCCCCCAGCCUGGAGCUAACGCCUGUCCCGGUGGCUGGUCCCUGGUCCUGCUGCCCACCAAACCAAGCUCCCUUUGUGUGAGAUCGGCAAACAUUGGUGUGCACCUGGGCCUUUCCCAGUCAUCCCAGUGACAAGCCUUGCAGCGAGCUGCUGUCCUGCUAUGCUCCUCAUGCUGCCCCGGCGUCCGUCUGUCCGCCCCUUGCCAUCCUGUCCAUCCGCACCCGGUCGCUCAGUCUGUAAAUGGUGUUAUUUGUCACAGCUUUCGCCCCCUCCCCGGCCGCCCGCAGCCUCGCGCCCCCAUUCAUUUCACCCAUGAUCUUGUUCUCGGCUAUUUCGGAAAGCGCAGGGCUCCCCCCCGGGCCUUGAGGCUGCCCGUUCGCCCUGCGCAGCACCCAUGGGUGCAUCUCUCGGUGGCCCAGAGCCCUCCCAGGAGGUCACCGUAGUUCAGAGCUGUCCCCGAAUGGCAUCGAGGGCUCUGAAACGCCAUGGAGGUGGUGUUUCCCUUGGGCAGGAGAAAGAAGCAAUCGUUGAACUAAAUCCUGUUGCUGGAUGACGCUAAAUUAAGUAACUCAAGAUGGGGAGAAGUGGGCAGAGCGUUCGAGCGGCCUGGGGGGGUUUGGCUGCCCUGACCCGGUGGUUGGAGUCGUUGUGCUAUACCUAACACAGCAAGACUAACCUGUUCCCUUUUUUGCACUAAACCAAGACGAGAUGAAUGACCACCAGAACACCUUGUCCUACGUCCUGAUCAAUCCCCCUCCGGACACGCGGCUGGAGCUCAACGAUAUCGUGUACCUGAUCCGCUCCGACCCGCUGGCCCAUGUGGCCAACGAU
This is an RNA transcript of Falco peregrinus (peregrine falcon), 6714 nucleotides long. It is a transcript of the gene named potassium sodium-activated channel subfamily T member 1, with no coding region annotated. Lineage: Eukaryota; Metazoa; Chordata; Aves; Falconiformes; Falconidae. The transcript has 32 exons. The record is from RefSeq and is a predicted model, not a curated record.